This 700-nucleotide ribosomal RNA is filed under the name Enterobacter cloacae. RNAcentral describes it as "bacterial SSU rRNA". It matches the Rfam family "Bacterial small subunit ribosomal RNA", at positions 74 to 772 of the family's 1533-position model. The record is from RNAcentral. Lineage: Bacteria; Pseudomonadati; Pseudomonadota; Gammaproteobacteria; Enterobacterales; Enterobacteriaceae.
GCUUGCUCUCGGGUGACGAGUGGCGGACGGGUGAGUAAUGUCUGGGAAACUGCCUGAUGGAGGGGGAUAACUACUGGAAACGGUAGCUAAUACCGCAUAACGUCGCAAGACCAAAGAGGGGGACCUUCGGGCCUCUUGCCAUCAGAUGUGCCCAGAUGGGAUUAGCUAGUAGGUGGGGUAACGGCUCACCUAGGCGACGAUCCCUAGCUGGUCUGAGAGGAUGACCAGCCACACUGGAACUGAGACACGGUCCAGACUCCUACGGGAGGCAGCAGUGGGGAAUAUUGCACAAUGGGCGCAAGCCUGAUGCAGCCAUGCCGCGUGUAUGAAGAAGGCCUUCGGGUUGUAAAGUACUUUCAGCGGGGAGGAAGGUGUUGUGGUUAAUAACCACAGCAAUUGACGUUACCCGCAGAAGAAGCACCGGCUAACUCCGUGCCAGCAGCCGCGGUAAUACGGAGGGUGCAAGCGUUAAUCGGAAUUACUGGGCGUAAAGCGCACGCAGGCGGUCUGUCAAGUCGGAUGUGAAAUCCCCGGGCUCAACCUGGGAACUGCAUUCGAAACUGGCAGGCUGGAGUCUUGUAGAGGGGGGUAGAAUUCCAGGUGUAGCGGUGAAAUGCGUAGAGAUCUGGAGGAAUACCGGUGGCGAAGGCGGCCCCCUGGACAAAGACUGACGCUCAUGUGCGAAAGCGUGGGGAGCAAA